UGGGGAAUAUUGGACAAUGGGCGAAAGCCUGAUCCAGCCAUGCCGCGUGAGUGAUGAAGGCCUUAGGGUUGUAAAGCUCUUUCGCACGCGAAGAUAAUGACGGUAACCGGAGAAGAAGCCCCGGCUAACUUCGUGCCAGCAGCCGCGGUAAUACGAAGGGGGCUAGCGUUGUUCGGCAUUACUGGGCGUAAAGCGCACGUAGGCGGAUCGAUCAGUUAGGGGUGAAAUCCCGGGGCUCAACCCCGGAACUGCCUCUAAUACUGUCGAUCUGGAGUUCGAGAGAGGUGAGUGGAAUUCCGAGUGUAGAGGUGAAAUUCGUAGAUAUUCGGAGGAACACCAGUGGCGAAGGCGGCUCACUGGCUCGAUACUGACGCUGAGGUGCGAAAGCGUGGGGAGCAAACA
Molecule: ribosomal RNA, 402 nt
Filed under: uncultured bacterium
Lineage: Bacteria
Description: bacterial SSU rRNA
Rfam family: Bacterial small subunit ribosomal RNA
Source: RNAcentral